GUGGCCUAGUGGUAGAGUGUCCGCCCUGAGGCUGGAAGGUUGUGGGUUCAAACCCCGGCCGGGUCAUACCAAAGACUAUAAAAAUGGGACCCAUUGCCUCCCUGCUUGGCACUCAGCAUUAAGGGUUGGAAUUGGGGGGUUAGAUCACCAACUGAUUCCCGAGCGCGGCACCGCUGCUGCUCACUGCUCCCCUCUCCCCCAGGGGAUGGAUUAAAAUCACACGGGGAUGGGUUAAAUGCAGAGGACAAAUUUCACCACACCCAGGUGUGUGUGUGACGAUCAUUGGGACUUUAAUCUUUAAUCUUUAAUUGCAAAGAAACAAUUGGCUGAGGAGCAGUUUUAUAGCAGAUUUUUGUUGUUGUAUUGCGAUAGCGUAUUGCUAAUGCUAAUCUGUUGAUUGUGUCGCGAGAGAGAGAGAGAGAGAGAGAGAGAGAGAGAGAGAGAGAGAGAGAGAGAGAGAGAGAGAGAGAGAGAGUGAGUGUGUGUGUGUGUCUCAGUAAAGAUAUCUGUCACACUCUCAUUUCACCUGAGUAAGGUCCCUUAGGGCAUCAUGUUGCCUUAGCCUAGAUCUACAUUUCAACAACUAGUACUAAUUUGUCAUUUUCAUUACAGGAUCAAAGAGAAAUUAAGGUCCUCACAUGGCGCGAAACCAACUUUUUCCAUGUCAAACUUGGACAGCGGCUGUCCAUGACACACAUGACAACAUCAUCUUCUAGUGGCGUAGAGCUCCACUCCACAGAAAAUACUGUAAUAAAGAGACCACCCUCAGAGGCCGGCCUCUUCGACUUGCAACCAGAGAUGCUGGCGUGGCUCCACGACACCAAGUUGGAACACUGACGUUACACGUGAGAGACAGACGGAGAGAGAGAGAGAGAGAGGCAACGUCAUCCGCCGAAUUAGGUGACCCAGUUUAUUAUUUUGUUUAUAGCAAAUACAGUCGCAAAUAUAUUGUUUCAAUGUGUAGUUAAUGGUAUUAAUGUAUAAUAUAUGAUUUUAAUCUAUUUUAAUCUAUAGUAAUGGUAUUUUACCCAUGCCUUAUUUUGGGAUAUUUGUAACUUCUGCUGUCUUUAUCUUAGUAUUCUGGAAUACUAUGGUUUAUUUCGAAAAUGUUUCUCAGAUGUCGCAUGUUUUCCCAUUCUAGAUUGAUAGAUAGAAUUUACGGUAGCGUUCUUUGGCCUGCUGUCCAAAGAACAUAGAAAACAAUACGGAAUGCGAUCAUCUCAUGUGCGGUGGCACCACAAAGUAGAUUGCAGAAGUUAACUCAGCAGCAUGGACGCGUUCCAGGCAGUUACUGCGACCGCAAGAGGGUAAGUAUUACUAAAAAGAAGCACACAAGUUUCAAACUUGCCGAGUGGACAGUGAAGCAGAAAAUAGAUUUGUCAAAAAGUGUGAGGAAAAUAUGCACUGUCUGCCGACUCACAUUUUCCAUAGUCCAUGUGGAACUGACUCACCUUAAGCAACACGGUGGACACGAACGAAAAAACGCACAACUAAGCAAGGGGAAACCUGGACAGAUCCAUUAGGCAACGACAAAGAUGGUACGUAAAUAUUUUUUUAAACCCUCUCAAGGUUAAUAUGAGAAUGUACAAUGGAUGUCUAUCGUAUAGAAAAAGCUAUAUUAGCUUUUGGGUGUAAUAAACGACCAGGUAAAUGGAUAGAUAAUACAUAAAAACCAUUUGUUUGCAUACAUUGAUAAAUAAAAGAUCAACAUUAUGUGGCACUUGCCUCCCCAGAACUUUUGGUUUAUAGGAGGUUUUUUUUUUUUCUAUGGAAGAAACCCAUGCGCCCAAGUGCAAUAUGUAUUUUCGCCAGUAGAGGACGCUGAAAAUAAAUGUUGCACAGCGGAUGAGCUGUCUUCAUCAUUUCUGUCUGUAACAAUUGCACACACAGCCUUACAUUUGUAACUAGUUUUAAGAGAUGUGCAUAUUUUUUCAUUGGACAUGCAAUGUAAUUCUGUCAACUUUUAAAUAAACUGUUAUUUUAUUUUUAAUGUGGAUAGAGGAUUUAUUUUUGGUGUUUCCGAUUUUACUGCAGAUUAUCCAGACAUCCCCAACGUCAAAGCAGCAGUAUUUUUGUCCUCAGCAUCCUUAUUUUCCACAAAGGUUUCCACAUUUUUCAACCGAUUCAACACAUUCCAACUUUCAACUGUUCAUCUUUUGCCUACCUAUUCCACAACUUCCCACUUACCAAAUAUUCCAAACUUUCAAUUUUGAAAUUCACCACAAAUUCUCCAAAUAUUCUACAUCUCUCAAGUAAUUCAACACGUUUCAACAUCGCUCGGCAGCAUUGCCCGAAAAAGUUAUUCAUACAUUUCGCCUUCACACGCAAUUUCUCCAGAAAUUGCAAAAUUCUAGUUUGUUGUGUUAUCUGUUUAUUUAUUAUUUAUUAUUACUCUUAUUAUUUAUUGUUUGUGCCUUUUUGUUUAUGAUGUUUUUAACUUUUGCGCUAUGCUUGCUGGCUCCGUUUUGCUCCUCUUAUUUAUUGUGUUAUCUGUUUAUUUAUUAUUUAUUCAUCACUCUUACUAUUGAUUGUUUGAAUUUCUGCCUUGUUUUUAUAUUGUGUCGCGUACUUGUAUGUCUAUCGUGUUAUGUGUCUCGUCACCAUGGGAUAGAGAAAAACGUAAUUUUGGUCUCUUUGUGUGUUGUGACAUGUGGAGAGAUUGACAAUAAAGCUGACUUUGACUUUUGA
Long non-coding RNA from Syngnathus typhle (broad-nosed pipefish), 2688 nucleotides. RefSeq lists it as uncharacterized. NCBI's taxonomy places the organism in Eukaryota, Metazoa, Chordata, Actinopteri, Syngnathiformes, Syngnathidae. The transcript has 2 exons. The record is from RefSeq and is a predicted model, not a curated record.